UUAAAACUUUAUUUUAGUUUUAAAAUUAGAAUUUAAGUUUAAUGUAUAUAGCCUUAUUAUUAAAUACAAUAGCAGGAUUAACAUUAAAUAUUUCAAAAUUGAAUAAAUUCAAAUAAAGAACUCUAACUAGCAAAUUAAGUGCCAGCAGUUGCGGUUAAACUUAAAGUUAACUAAUUAUUUCUACUUAAAUUAUAUUUAUGUCUUAACCAAUUAACUAAAAUAAACAUUUAAUAAGUGAAAUUUUAAAUUUUAUAGAACUAAAAGAUAUAAAAAUUAAUAAAAUUUUUAAAAAACUAGGAUUAGAUACCCUAUUAUUUGUUUACAACUCUACUCAAAGUAGUAAAAGAUAAAUCUUCAAACUUAAAAAAUUUGGCGGUAAUUUAAUCUAGCUAGAGGAAUCUGUUCUAUAAUUGAUAAUCCACAAUUAAUUUUACUUUAUAUUUAUAUAUUUAUAUAUCGCUGUAAAACAUAAAUUUAAAAAUAAUGUGUGAAAUUGUUAAUUAAACCAGAAAAUCAAGUCAACACAUAAUUAUUAUGAAGUUAGUAAUGGAUUACAUUUAUCUGAAAUUAGUGGAUUUUAUUAAAUAUAUAAAAUAAAAGUGGAUUUAGGAGUAAAUUAAAUAGAAAUAUUUAAUUAAAUAAGAGAUAAGUUAUGUACAAAUCGCCCGUCAUUCUUAAAUAAAUUAAGACAAGUCGUAACAAAGUAAAAUCACCGGAAGGUGAUUUUAGAAU
This 732-nucleotide non-coding RNA is filed under the name Bemisia afer. Lineage: Eukaryota; Metazoa; Arthropoda; Insecta; Hemiptera; Aleyrodidae. The record is from RNAcentral.